This 2392-nucleotide ribosomal RNA is filed under the name Salmonella enterica. RNAcentral's name for it is "partial 23S ribosomal RNA". It matches the Rfam family "Bacterial large subunit ribosomal RNA", at positions 544 to 2925 of the family's 2925-position model. RNAcentral also lists the same sequence under 1 other name. Lineage: Bacteria; Pseudomonadati; Pseudomonadota; Gammaproteobacteria; Enterobacterales; Enterobacteriaceae. The record is from RNAcentral.
UUCAACCUCAAAAGAAGCAGAGGGGGCUUAGUGGUGGGGUGACUGCGUACCUUUUGUAUAAUGGGUCAGCGACUUAUAUUCUGUAGCAAGGUUAACCGAAUAGGGGAGCCGGAGGGAAACCGAGUCUUAACCGGGCGUUAAGUUGCAGGGUAUAGACCCGAAACCCGGUGAUCUAGCCAUGGGCAGGUUGAAGGUUGGGUAACACUAACUGGAGGACCGAACCGACUAAUGUUGAAAAAUUAGCGGAUGACCUGUGGCUGGGGGUGAAAGGCCAAUCAAACCGGGAGAUAGCUGGUUCUCCCCGAAAGCUAUUUAGGUAGCGCCUCGUGAAUUCAUCUCCGGGGGUAGAGCACUGUUUCGGCUAGGGGGCCAUCCCGGCUUACCAACCCGAUGCAAACUGCGAAUACCGGAGAAUGUUAUCACGGGAGACACACGGCGGGUGCUAACGUCCGUCGUGAAGAGGGAAACAACCCAGACCGCCAGCUAAGGUCCCAAAGUCAUGGUUAAGUGGGAAACGAUGUGGGAAGGCCCAGACAGCCAGGAUGUUGGCUUAGAAGCAGCCAUCAUUUAAAGAAAGCGUAAUAGCUCACUGGUCGAGUCGGCCUGCGCGGAAGAUGUAACGGGGCUAAACCAUGCACCGAAGCUGCGGCAGCGACGCUGAUGCGUUGUUGGGUAGGGGAGCGUUCUGUAAGCCUGCGAAGGUGGCCUGUGAGGGUUGCUGGAGGUAUCAGAAGUGCGAAUGCUGACAUAAGUAACGAUAAAGCGGGUGAAAAGCCCGCUCGCCGGAAGACCAAGGGUUCCUGUCCAACGUUAAUCGGGGCAGGGUGAGUCGACCCCUAAGGCGAGGCCGAAAGGCGUAGUCGAUGGGAAACGGGUUAAUAUUCCCGUACUUGGUGUUACUGCGAAGGGGGGACGGAGAAGGCUAUGUUGGCCGGGCGACGGUUGUCCCGGUUUAAGCGUGUAGGUGUGUGUUCCAGGUAAAUCCGGUUCACUUUAACACUGAGGCGUGAUGACGAGGCACUACGGUGCUGAAGCAACAAAUGCCCUGCUUCCAGGAAAAGCCUCUAAGCAUCAGGUAACAUCAAAUCGUACCCCAAACCGACACAGGUGGUCAGGUAGAGAAUACCAAGGCGCUUGAGAGAACUCGGGUGAAGGAACUAGGCAAAAUGGUGCCGUAACUUCGGGAGAAGGCACGCUGACACGUAGGUGAAGUGAUUUACUCAUGGAGCUGAAGUCAGUCGAAGAUACCAGCUGGCUGCAACUGUUUAUUAAAAACACAGCACUGUGCAAACACGAAAGUGGACGUAUACGGUGUGACGCCUGCCCGGUGCCGGAAGGUUAAUUGAUGGGGUCAGCGCAAGCGAAGCUCCUGAUCGAAGCCCCGGUAAACGGCGGCCGUAACUAUAACGGUCCUAAGGUAGCGAAAUUCCUUGUCGGGUAAGUUCCGACCUGCACGAAUGGCGUAAUGAUGGCCAGGCUGUCUCCACCCGAGACUCAGUGAAAUUGAACUCGCUGUGAAGAUGCAGUGUACCCGCGGCAAGACGGAAAGACCCCGUGAACCUUUACUAUAGCUUGACACUGAACAUUGAGCCUUGAUGUGUAGGAUAGGUGGGAGGCUUUGAAGUGUGGACGCCAGUCUGCAUGGAGCCGGCCUUGAAAUACCACCCUUUAAUGUUUGAUGUUCUAACGUGGACCCGUGAUCCGGGUUGCGGACAGUGUCUGGUGGGUAGUUUGACUGGGGCGGUCUCCUCCUAAAGAGUAACGGAGGAGCACGAAGGUUGGCUAAUCCUGGUCGGACAUCAGGAGGUUAGUGCAAUGGCAUAAGCCAGCUUGACUGCGAGCGUGACGGCGCGAGCAGGUGCGAAAGCAGGUCAUAGUGAUCCGGUGGUUCUGAAUGGAAGGGCCAUCGCUCAACGGAUAAAAGGUACUCCGGGGAUAACAGGCUGAUACCGCCCAAGAGUUCAUAUCGACGGCGGUGUUUGGCACCUCGAUGUCGGCUCAUCACAUCCUGGGGCUGAAGUAGGUCCCAAGGGUAUGGCUGUUCGCCAUUUAAAGUGGUACGCGAGCUGGGUUUAGAACGUCGUGAGACAGUUCGGUCCCUAUCUGCCGUGGGCGCUGGAGAACUGAGGGGGGCUGCUCCUAGUACGAGAGGACCGGAGUGGACGCAUCACUGGUGUUCGGGUUGUCAUGCCAAUGGCACUGCCCGGUAGCUAAAUGCGGAAGAGAUAAGUGCUGAAAGCAUCUAAGCACGAAACUUGCCCCGAGAUGAGUUCUCCCUGAGACUUAGAGUCUCCUGAAGGAACGUUGAAGACGACGACGUUGAUAGGCCGGGUGUGUAAGCGCAGCGAUGCGUUGAGCUAACCGGUACUAAUGAACCGUGAGGCUUAACCUU